AAAGCAUUGCUUUCUCCUAUGAAGUGGUAUGUCCAGAGACCUGGGUAAAGUUUCAUAUUAAAGAUGACCCUGGAGGAAGCGAGAAAUCACUGUAAAAAGAAGAGUACAGCACUUUAAAUAUGUUUGGAUCAAGAGCGCCACCUAGUGGUGGCUUUGAUCAUCUUUGGUUAUAUUUUCAUAGUUUACCAAGAUUAAUUCGUUUCUCAGGAAAUUUUUCAGAUGUUCUUACAGUUCAAGAGCCGGUUCUUCCUUAAAGAGAUGUUACCUCAUUACCGGGGCCCUCAGAAUUUGUGGCUAGGAAUUUUAUACGACACUGACAGUGCCAUCAAAGUGAUAGAAGUGGAGCAAUUUAAAGAUCUGCACCAAGGUGUGAUCUCAGCAGCUGCGUUGGUGGCCAUUGUGCUGUUUGCUGUGGUGAUUGGAUCAUUAUGGCUCCUUUACAAGAGAAACUCCCUGUGCAUCCUAAGGCUUCUAAAGUUUUUACAGACAGACAAGUUCCCAAGGAAAUUACCAAAAUGAAAAUGUUUUACUCCCAGACCUAGAGACACAAGCAGGGGACUAGCAUGUAUUUGUGUGAGCGUAUAGGUGCAUUGUUUCCCUUUGUGUUUUGUGUGAGAGUGUGUUCAUUCAGUCAGGGAAACUGCAGUAGGAAUGAUGAGGAUAGUUGAGUUGUCUGUCCAUACUGUAGCUAAAGGAGGAUACUGUGCACAAACAGGUCAGAUAAAGCCUCAAGACAGACCAUUUAAACGCAUUAUGAAAGGGAUAUCCUCUAUGAAGUGAAAAAAUGGGUCUUUUUCUCUUUGUCUCAUAUUCAGGACAACAACAGAAUUCCUCCUGGGUGUAAAAGUUCAAAUGGGCCAAAUGGCUUGUUUGUUGAGUGUGGUUUAUUAUUGUUAAGGUGUUAAGGCCUGUUUACAUUAACACAAAUGUUUGGCAUGAAAAUGCGUAAACAAAAAAAACAUUUGGACAGUUUGAAUUUCACUGCAAUUUCACUCUCUGAUAGUAUAUUGUGCUUAUAGGAACGCAUAAAUACUGCAAUGCGCUACGCAACUUUGUGCUUCUGACACCCACUUGUCAUGAAGGAGAAAAGAGGCUUCUUUCCAGAUUGUUCCUCUGUUGUUUAUUGCCUAUUAUCAAAAUAUGCCACCAAGUCAUAGUUUUAUGUAACAGCAGCGUGUUUGGGCACAUAAUCAAAAGUGUGACUCUAAUUGGGUGCCUAGUUUUCUUUCAGUGCAAUGGCAAAGAGAUUAGAACUCCUCUCCUCCAUCAGUUGUUUAUCGCAUAAAUUUUUGUAUCAAAUAUUCGUCUGUAAGUUGUAUACAUAAAGAAAUAAAUAGUGUUUUGAAAAGAAUGUAUAACA
This is a long non-coding RNA of Cyprinus carpio (common carp), 1360 nucleotides long. Lineage: Eukaryota; Metazoa; Chordata; Actinopteri; Cypriniformes; Cyprinidae. The record is from Ensembl.